RNAcentral lists this ribosomal RNA (500 nucleotides) under uncultured bacterium. Its description in RNAcentral is "partial 16S ribosomal RNA". It matches the Rfam family "Bacterial small subunit ribosomal RNA", at positions 30 to 523 of the family's 1533-position model. The record is from RNAcentral.
AUUGAACGCUGGCGGAAUGCUUUACACAUGCAAGUCGAACGGCAGCACGGACUUCGGUCUGGUGGCGAGUGGCGAACGGGUGAGUAAUACAUCGGAACGUGCCCAAUCGUGGGGGAUAACGUAGCGAAAGCUACGCUAAUACCGCAUACGAUCUAAGGAUGAAAGCGGGGGAUCGCAAGACCUCGCGCGAUUGGAUCGGCCGAUGGCAGAUUAGGUAGUUGGUAGGGUAAAGGCCUACCAAGCCGACGAUCUGUAGCUGGUCUGAGAGGAUGAUCAGCAACACUGGGACUGAGACACGGCCCAGACUCCUACGGGAGGCAGCAGUGGGGAAUUUUGGACAAUGGACGCAAGUCUGAUCCAGCCAUUCCGCGUGCAGGAUGAAGGCCCUCGGGUUGUAAACUGCUUUUGUACAGAACGAAAAGGCUCUGGUUAAUACCUAGGGCUCAUGACGGUACUGUAAGAAUAAGCACCGGCUAACUACGUGCCAGCAGCCGCAGUAA